Molecule: unclassified non-coding RNA, 234 nt
Filed under: plant metagenome
Description: partial contains small subunit ribosomal RNA, internal transcribed spacer 1, and 5.8S ribosomal RNA
Source: RNAcentral
UUUCCGUAGGUGAACCUGCGGAAGGAUCGUUAAGGUUAUAGUCCCCCGGCCCUCUGGGCUGGGGUCUUCUAUACCACCCUUUGUUUAUUACACCUUUGUUGCUUUGGCAGGCCUGCCCUCGGGCUGCUGGCUCCGGCCGGCUCGCGUCUGCCAGAGGACCUAAACUCUGUUUGUAUAUGAAGUCUGAGUACUAUAUAAUAGUUAAAACUUUCAACAACGGAUCUCUUGGUUCUG